UGCAGUGCUUUGUUGAGAUGUCCAACUGA
RNAcentral lists this non-coding RNA (29 nucleotides) under Rattus norvegicus (Norway rat). Lineage: Eukaryota; Metazoa; Chordata; Mammalia; Rodentia; Muridae. The record is from RNAcentral.